GAUGAACGCUGGCGGCGUGCCUAAUACAUGCAAGUCGAGCGAACAGACGAGGAGCUUGCUCCUCUGACGUUAGCGGCGGACGGGUGAGUAACACGUGGAUAACCUACCUAUAAGACUGGGAUAACUUCGGGAAACCGGAGCUAAUACCGGAUAAUAUAUUGAACCGCAUGGUUCAAUAGUGAAAGACGGUUUUGCUGUCACUUAUAGAUGGAUCCGCGCCGCAUUAGCUAGUUGGUAAGGUAACGGCUUACCAAGGCAACGAUGCGUAGCCGACCUGAGAGGGUGAUCGGCCACACUGGAACUGAGACACGGUCCAGACCCCUACGGGAGGCAGCAGGAGGGAAUCUUCCGCAAUGGGCGAAAGCCUGACGGAGCAACGCCGGGGGAGUGAUGAAGGUCUUCGGAUCGUAAAACCCUGUUAUUAGGGAAGAAAAAAUGUGUAAGUAACUAUGCACGUCUUGACGGUACCUAAUCAGAAAGCCACGGCUAACUACGU
Molecule: ribosomal RNA, 496 nt
Filed under: uncultured bacterium
Lineage: Bacteria
Description: partial 16S ribosomal RNA
Rfam family: Bacterial small subunit ribosomal RNA
Source: RNAcentral